Molecule: ribosomal RNA, 231 nt
Filed under: uncultured eukaryote
Lineage: Eukaryota
Description: partial small subunit ribosomal RNA
Rfam family: Eukaryotic small subunit ribosomal RNA
Source: RNAcentral
AGCUCCAAUAGCGUAUAUUAAAGUUGUUGCAGUUAAAAAGCUCGUAGUUGGAUUUGUGGUGUAUGCAGGCGGCCUGUCACUUAGUGGCGGAGCUUGCUUGCGUCGCCAUCCUUGGGUGGAUCCUGUGUGGCAUUAAGUUGUCGUGCAGGGGAUGCCCAUCGUUUACUGUGAAAAAAUUGAGUGUUCAAAGCAGGCUUAUGCCGUUGAAUAUAUUAGCAUGGAAUAAUAAGA